CCCGUUUGGUCACCGAAAACUGUGCCGAACUGCAAUCUUUAUCAGAUGGAUUUCGGAUUUUAUUUCUCACUUUACGGGUGUCAGAAAAAUAUGAAACUUUAAAUCUAGCCUCAUUAAAAUAUUUCUGGCAUCCCCGCCAAUUUUCAUAAUUUUCUGAGACUGUGCAUUUUCUGCUAAUUUUUCUGUCCCGUUUCCAACAGAAAAUUCUAGAUCUUCUGUUUUCAUCCCGAUUUCAGCACAAGUCACUUCUGACUUAUGUUUUACUUCUCUAAAUCCAAUAAAAUAGUAUCUCAUACUAUUUUUACUUAUUUUCACUUUUAUAUUAAAAAUCCGGUAUGUUACAUUCCACCGCAGCCUCACCGGAACCAUUUAAAUGGCUUUCCAAUCGAACGUACACUGUAACCUCAUGAUUUUCGAAGUCCGGUAUCUUACAGACAUAUCUGAAAACAUUAGAAUUUUUGUAGAAAUAAUUUAUGAAAGUUGAACUUUAUAGGGAUAUAUCUGCAAUUCACUAUAUUUGCAGGGACCCGUACGCAAUUAGUUUUUUAAAAAAUUAUAUUUUUUUGUCUUAAAAUUUUAAAAAUACUUUUUAAAAUUAUGCCGCAAAUAAAAAAGACAAAAUAAUCAAAUUAUACUUAUACUUAUUCUAAAAUUAACAGCUUUUUUAUUAAUCAAUUAUUAAAUAAUUAAUAACAUUCAUUUUUGCAUUAUU
RNAcentral lists this long non-coding RNA (712 nucleotides) under Ananas comosus (pineapple). RNAcentral's name for it is "long non-coding RNA (ACOM_LNC029416)". The record is from RNAcentral. Lineage: Eukaryota; Viridiplantae; Streptophyta; Magnoliopsida; Poales; Bromeliaceae.